RNAcentral lists this ribosomal RNA (439 nucleotides) under uncultured bacterium. RNAcentral describes it as "bacterial SSU rRNA". It matches the Rfam family "Bacterial small subunit ribosomal RNA", at positions 30 to 486 of the family's 1533-position model. The record is from RNAcentral.
AUUGAACGCUGGCGGCAUGCCUUACACAUGCAAGUCGAACGGCAGCACGGGAGCAAUCCUGGUGGCGAGUGGCGAACGGGUGAGUAAUAUAUCGGAACGUGCCCAGUCGUGGGGGAUAACGUAGCGAAAGCUACGCUAAUACCGCAUACGAUCUAUGGAUGAAAGCGGGGGAUCGCAAGACCUCGCGCGAUUGGAGCGGCCGAUAUCAGAUUAGGUAGUUGGUGAGGUAAAGGCUCACCAAGCCGACGAUCUGUAGCUGGUCUGAGAGGACGACCAGCCACACUGGGACUGAGACACGGCCCAGACUCCUACGGGAGGCAGCAGUGGGGAAUAUUGGACAAUGGGCGGAAAGCCUGAUCCAGCAAUGCCGCGUGAGUGAUGAAGGCCUUAGGGUUGUAAGCUCUUUUUACCCGAGAUGAUAAUGACAGUAUCGGGAGAA